UCUUAGCUUGCUAAGGCCGAUGGCGACCGGCGCACGGGUGAGUAACACGUAUCCACCCUUACGUCUACUCUUGGACAGCCUUCUGAAAGGAAGAUUACUAUAAGAUGGCAUCAUGAGUCCGCAUGUUCACAUGAUUAAAGGUAUUCCGGUAGACGAUGGGGAUGCGUUCCAUUAGAUAGUAGGCGGGGUAACGGCCCACCUAGUCUUCGAUGGAUAGGGGUUCUGAGAGGAAGGUCCCCCACAUUGGAACUGAGACACGGUCCAAACUCCUACGGGAGGCAGCAGUGAGGAAUAUUGGUCAAUGGGCGAGAGCCUGAACCAGCCAAGUAGCGUGCAGGAUGACGGCCCUAUGGGUUGUAAACUUCUUUUAUAAAGGAAUAAAGUCGGGUAUGCAUACCCGUUUGCAUGUACUUUAUGAAUAAGGAUCGGCUAACUCCGGGCCAGCAGCCGCGGUAAUACGGAGGAUCCGAGCGUUAUCCGGAUUUAUUGGGUUUAAAGGGAGCGUAGAUGGAUGUUUAAGUCAGUUGUGAAAGUUUGCGGCUCAACCGUAAAAUUGCAGUUGAUACUGGAUAUCUUGAGUGCAGUUGAGGCAGGCGGAAUUCGUGGUGUAGCGGUGAAAUGCUUAGAUAUCACGAAGAACUCCGAUUG
This 648-nucleotide ribosomal RNA is filed under the name uncultured Bacteroides sp. RNAcentral's name for it is "bacterial SSU rRNA". It matches the Rfam family "Bacterial small subunit ribosomal RNA", at positions 73 to 715 of the family's 1533-position model. Lineage: Bacteria; Pseudomonadati; Bacteroidota; Bacteroidia; Bacteroidales; Bacteroidaceae. The record is from RNAcentral.